ACCGAUAGUGAACCAGUACCGUGAGGGAAAGGCGAAAAGAACCCCGGCGAGGGGAGUGAAAAAGAACCUGAAACCGUGUACGUACAAGCAGUGGGAGCACGCUUAGGCGUGUGACUGCGUACCUUUUGUAUAAUGGGUCAGCGACUUAUAUUCUGUAGCAAGGUUAACCGAAUAGGGGAGCCGAAGGGAAACCGAGUCUUAACUGGGCGUUAAGUUGCAGGGUAUAGACCCGAAACCCGGUGAUCUAGCCAUGGGCAGGUUGAAGGUUGGGUAACACUAACUGGAGGACCGAACCGACUAAUGUUGAAAAAUUAGCGGAUGACUUGUGGCUGGGGGUGAAAGGCCAAUCAAACCGGGAGAUAGCUGGUUCUCCCCGAAAGCUAUUUAGGUAGCGCCUCGUGAAUUCAUCUCCGGGGGUAGAGCACUGUUUCGGCAAGGGGGUCAUCCCGACUUACCAACCCGAUGCAAACUGCGAAUACCGGAGAAUGUUAUCACGGGAGACACACGGCGGGUGCUAACGUCCGUCGUGAAGAGGGAAACAACCCAGACCGCCAGCUAAGGUCCCAAAGUCAUGGUUAAGUGGGAAACGAUGUGGGAAGGCCCAGACAGCCAGGAUGUUGGCUUAGAAGCAGCCAUCAUUUAAAGAAAGCGUAAUAGCUCACUGGUCGAGUCGGCCUGCGCGGAAGAUGUAACGGGGCUAAACCAUGCACCGAAGCUGCGGCAGCGACGCUGAUGCGUUGUUGGGUA
RNAcentral lists this ribosomal RNA (747 nucleotides) under Escherichia coli. RNAcentral describes it as "partial 23S ribosomal RNA". It matches the Rfam family "Bacterial large subunit ribosomal RNA", at positions 483 to 1230 of the family's 2925-position model. The record is from RNAcentral. Lineage: Bacteria; Pseudomonadati; Pseudomonadota; Gammaproteobacteria; Enterobacterales; Enterobacteriaceae.